AUCAUCUAGAAUCUUGUUAAAAUGAAGAUUCUGAUUCAGUCCAUCUGGGGUUAGGCCUGAGACUCUGCAUUUCUAAUAAGCUCCCAAGUGAUGCUAU
This 97-nucleotide microRNA precursor is filed under the name Loxodonta africana (African savanna elephant). Its description in RNAcentral is "mir-544 microRNA precursor family". It matches the Rfam family "mir-544 microRNA precursor family". The record is from Rfam by way of RNAcentral. Lineage: Eukaryota; Metazoa; Chordata; Mammalia; Proboscidea; Elephantidae.